RNAcentral lists this long non-coding RNA (833 nucleotides) under Olea europaea (common olive). RNAcentral describes it as "long non-coding RNA (OEUR_LNC004384)". Lineage: Eukaryota; Viridiplantae; Streptophyta; Magnoliopsida; Lamiales; Oleaceae. The record is from RNAcentral.
AUAAGCAUAACCCAAAAGGUUUGCACCUUGAACUGGAGCACCAGCAACUGUUGCUGCAGUAUGAGUGCCAUGGCCGUCUUGAUCUCGUGGCGAUUUAUACUCUUCUUGUUCAUUGAUUUUGCCUGAAGCUGCCUCGUAUCCACGGUAAAACACUCUAGCUCCCACUAUCUUUCUGUUACAGUGAUGCUCAGUGAAACCGCGACCUACAUCACACAUGCCUUUCCAGUGAGCAGGAACCGGUCUCAUAGAGCUAUCAUUGAAGCUGGGGUUCUCGGGCCAUAUCCCGGUAUCCAGCACGCCUACAACCACAUCAUGGUCAGAUAUUUUAUCAGACCAGAUGUGCAUUCCAUCUUCCUGCUCGAGCCCAAGGAACUUUGGACUUCUAGUGGUGUGUAACUGGUAUACAAUCUCGGGGAAGACAGCCAACACACCGUUUUGAUCUUGCAGCAUCUCAGCUUCUUCUUCACUAAGUUGAGCAGCAACUCCAUGAAAUGCAGUCUGGUAAGUGUAAAGCAUCCUGUCAUUAUCUGUAUCUUCUUCUUUUUCGGGUUUUGAAGCUACUGAUUUUAUCAUUGACGAGUACCAUUGUUUAUGGUCACUGAAUUCUUCUGGUUUUGCCCACUUAUCUACUUGUAUUAUAUAUGUUUUCUUUGUUGAUGGGCUGUUUUUGGUACAUGAAACUAGGGUGAUGAAAAGAAAGAUGGACACAAGAACACACCAUUUUCCUGAAAUCCUUACCAUUUCUUUCGUCAAAAAGAAAACAAAAAACGGGGCAAAAUUGGGUUGAAGAACUAGAUAUUUGAAUUGAGAAUAGGAAAAUGCAGAGUGAUCUU